RNAcentral lists this ribosomal RNA (510 nucleotides) under uncultured bacterium. Its description in RNAcentral is "partial 16S ribosomal RNA". It matches the Rfam family "Bacterial small subunit ribosomal RNA", at positions 28 to 507 of the family's 1533-position model. The record is from RNAcentral.
GACGAACGCUGGCGGCGUGCUUAACACAUGCAAGUCGAACGAAGAGCGACGGAAGCUUGCUUCUAUCAAUCUUAGUGGCGAACGGGUGAGUAACGCGUAAUCAACCUGCCCUUCAGAGGGGGACAACAGUUGGAAACGACUGCUAAUACCGCAUACGAUCUAACCUCGGCAUCGAGGAUAGAUGAAAGGUGGCCUCUACAUGUAAGCUAUCACUGAAGGAGGGGAUUGCGUCUGAUUAGCUAGUUGGAGGGGUAACGGCCCACCAAGGCGAUGAUCAGUAGCCGGUCUGAGAGGAUGAACGGCCACAUUGGGACUGAGACACGGCCCAGACUCCUACGGGAGGCAGCAGUGGGGAAUCCUCCGCAAUGGACGAAAGUCUGACGGAGCAACGCCGCGUGAGUGAUGACGGCCUUCGGGUUGUAAAGCUCUGUUAAUCGGGACGAAAGGCCUUCUUGCGAAUAGUGAGAAGGAUUGACGGUACCGGAAUAGAAAGCCACGGCUAACUACGUG